Long non-coding RNA from Meriones unguiculatus (Mongolian gerbil), 441 nucleotides. RefSeq lists it as uncharacterized. The record is from RefSeq and is a predicted model, not a curated record. The transcript has 2 exons. Lineage: Eukaryota; Metazoa; Chordata; Mammalia; Rodentia; Muridae.
CAGGUUCUCCCAGGAUCCUUCAGUCCCUACCUUCUAAAGGGAUUCCUCCAUGGUAACUUCCAUGGCCUUAUUCCUUGGGAACUGGGAACCCUCUGAGAACUGUUUGCAUAAGCUUGCAAGUAAAUAUUUACCAUGUCUUCAAUUAGCAAAUAUUACCUGUGGGAAGAAAGAAACAGCAUAACAUUAUAUAAUCAUCACUGGUCAAAAUUUGUCACACUGAAUAAAUAUGUGAAUAUGUUUCCAGUUUUUAUUAAUAAUUUGUGUUUUAACCAUUGUUUUUGAUUUUUCCCUAGCCCCCUAUAUGAGGACUAGGGAAGGUGCAUGGGGGAGAUUGGGAGGCUGGCUGGAAAUGGUCAGAAUUGUAAGUGGAUACAGCCCUGAUACAAAGAAAAUAAACUGUAAUAAACAAAUAGCUUAAUUAAAUGUAUUUUCAUUUUCAAA